This 451-nucleotide ribosomal RNA is filed under the name uncultured bacterium. Its description in RNAcentral is "partial 16S ribosomal RNA". It matches the Rfam family "Bacterial small subunit ribosomal RNA", at positions 354 to 796 of the family's 1533-position model. The record is from RNAcentral.
GUGGGGAAUAUUGGACAAUGGGGGGAACCCUGAUCCAGUCAUGCCGCGUGUGUGAAGAAGGCCUUUUGGUUGUAAAGCACUUUAAGCGAGGAGGAGGCUUACCUGGUUAAUACCUAGGAUAAGUGGACGUUACUCGCAGAAUAAGCACCGGCUAACUCUGUGCCAGCAGCCGCGGUAAUACAGAGGGUGCGAGCGUUAAUCGGAUUUACUGGGCGUAAAGCGCGCGUAGGUGGUUAAUUAAGUCAAAUGUGAAAUCCCCGAGCUUAACUUGGGAAUUGCAUUCGAUACUGGUUAGCUAGAGUAUGGGAGAGGAUGGUAGAAUUCCAGGUGUAGCGGUGAAAUGCGUAGAGAUCUGGAGGAAUACCGAUGGCGAAGGCAGCCAUCUGGCCUAAUACUGACACUGAGGUGCGAAAGCAUGGGGAGCAAACAGGAUUAGAAACCCUGGUAGUCC